UUCCAAAUAUGGUUAGGGUCAAUUGUAUUUGUACAAUUCGAUUAUAUAAUUUUUAUGAAAGAGGUCACUCUGUUUAUAUCGGCCAUUCGAUUAUAUAAUUUUUAUGAAAGAGGUCACUCUGUUUAUAUCGGCCACGUAAACAAUCGUGUAUUGGAAAUUUGAAGUAGAUAAACAUAUUAAUUAAAUGGACAGAGAAAUUGAUUAUUAGCGCUAUAAAAGUUAAUGAUUAAUUCUAACAACAUAUGUGUCCUGAAUUAGUGUCAAAAUACUGUCACAAUAGAUCUUUCUCCUUUAGAAAAUCUUGUCCCAAGAUUUAAAUUAAUUAGAAAAAAAAAAAUUAAUAAUUUUAUAAGAUUUAGAGCAACUUAAAAUAUCAUAAUUUACUAAAUUGAUUAUUGGAUUUAUAACUUUUAAUUAUUAAUUUCAGUAAAUAAUUAAUAUCCAUAUGAAACUUCAAAAUAACAAAGUAGACAAUUAAGUUAAAUAUAAAGCAAGAAUAAGG
Molecule: long non-coding RNA, 502 nt
Filed under: Mytilus galloprovincialis (Mediterranean mussel)
Lineage: Eukaryota; Metazoa; Mollusca; Bivalvia; Mytilida; Mytilidae
Source: RNAcentral